AACGCACAUUGCGCCCGCCAGUAUUCUGGCGGGCAUGCCUGUUCGAGCGUCAUUUCAACCAUCAAGCCCCCGGCUUGUGUUGGGGACCUGCGGCUGCCGCAGGCCCUGAAAUGCAGUGGCGGGCUCGCUGUCACUCCGAGCGUAGUAGUUACAUCUCGCUCUGGGCGUGCUGCGGGUUCCGGCCGUUAAAAGCCUUAUUUACCCAAGGUUGACCUCGGAUCAGGUAGGAAGACCCGCUGAACUUAA
RNAcentral lists this unclassified non-coding RNA (246 nucleotides) under uncultured fungus. Its description in RNAcentral is "sequence contains ITS2". The stretch from base 1 to 52 matches the Rfam family "5.8S ribosomal RNA", at positions 103 to 154 of the family's 154-position model. The record is from RNAcentral. Lineage: Eukaryota; Fungi.